This 504-nucleotide ribosomal RNA is filed under the name uncultured bacterium. Its description in RNAcentral is "bacterial SSU rRNA". It matches the Rfam family "Bacterial small subunit ribosomal RNA", at positions 28 to 531 of the family's 1533-position model. The record is from RNAcentral.
GAUGAACGCUAGCGGGAGGCUUAACACAUGCAAGUCGAGGGGCAGCACGUCUUCGGAUGGUGGCGACCGGCGAACGGGUGCGUAACGCGUAUGCAACCUACCCUUAACAGGAGAAUAGCCCAGAGAAAUUUGGAUUAAUACUCCAUAGUAUUACGGAUUCGCAUGUUUCUGUAAUUAAAGUUCCAACGGUUAAGGAUGGGCAUGCGUGACAUUAGCUUGUUGGUGAGGUAACGGCUCACCAAGGCAACGAUGUCUAGGGGUUCUGAGAGGAUGAUCCCCACACUGGUACUGAGACACGGACCAGACUCCUACGGGAGGCAGCAGUGAGGAAUAUUGGACAAUGGAGGAAACUCUGAUCCAGCCAUCCCGCGUGCAGGAAGAAGGCCCUAUGGGUUGUAAACUGCUUUUAUACAGGAAUAAACCCCUCUACGUGUAGAGGGCUGAAGGUACUGUAAGAAUAAGCACCGGCUAACUCCGUGCCAGCAGCCGCGGUAAAGUCGUACG